GAUGUUAGGAUAUUUCCGUUCCACCUUAAAAGGGAGCAGGCUUUGUGAGUCAGAGUCUGCGUAUUUCCUGUUCACAGGAUGUUUAUAUUUUCUGUUGCUUUCGUUCUCUCUCUCUGUGUCGCAGACACUAAAGCAGGCAGUCAUGUUUUUCUGUGUUCUGAUCAACGCUGAAUAAACUUGUAAAUAAUGCUCUCCUGAGUGCAACUUUUGGCUGUGCAUUAUCUGCUGAUAGAGCGUGCAUGAGCUCUGGAAUGUGGCAAGAUAUUUUCUAGAAACUCAUGUCGCUGCGUGCCUACGGGAGGUCGAUGGAUCGUCCGGCAGACGGCUUGGGGGCCUUGAUGGACUUUAUCUCCCUGGCAGUAUCCCAACAACAGGUUUCGGGCCCAGAUUCACGGCACUUACAGGAGAGUAAGACUGCGACGGACUGCUGAAAGGUAUGUGGAGGAAAAGCGAAAGUAAGGCUUUUCUGUUUGCCGUGGCGAGAGCCUUUGAUGUCUGGCAGGACUAAUGGAUCUGGGAGCCGCACCAGAGCAUUCGUGAGUAAUGGGCUGCCAAGAUAAGGGAUCUUUGAAGUGAAUAAGACUCACGGCUCAAAUAAAAAGCUGGAAUGGAGUUUUUCCAAGCUUCUGAGGCUGCUGAGUGCCCAAAGUUAAAUCGGCACAACUAUCAGACCUGGGCAAAAUGGUGUGAGAGUUUGCUGCGUCAGUUUGGAGUGUGGCAUACUGUGUGUGAGGCCCCUCCAGUUCCUCUGACAGAUAGAUGGAAGGCCGAAAAUUCGAAGGCGAUAGACAUAAUAGUCUUGUCCGUCUCUCUGGAGGAAAUUAAAACGUUAGCUGGCAAUGUGACUGCAUGUAAGAUGUGGCAUGCUUUGAAGAUAGCCCAUUUGCCAGUCAUCCCAGCCCAGAGUUUGACUGCAUCGGAGGUCCUGGCUGUUUCCCAGAAUGCGAGUGAAUGCAGGGAUGCUGAGGGCACCGGUUGCAAGCUGCAGGGGGAGCUGACUGUCACGUCAUCCCAGGCAGCAUUCCAGCCUCCAGGGGGAGCCAAGGAGUCGGCAGCUGAAAACUCUGUUUCUCGUGAGAACCAAGGUCAUUGCCUUUGCAGAGGCCGGAAGGGCAAAGGUAAACAGAGGCAGACGCCUGCAGAUGGCCAGAAGCAGAGGGAGGGUGAAGAGCCCACGCCAGAGGAAAACAAGGUUUUGUUUGCUGGCACAGCUUCACCGAAGGCUAAAGGCAUGUCUGAUGGCCAGGAGCAGGGGGGCAAGCUGCAAAAGCCCACGCCAGUGGAAAACAAGGUUUUGUUUGCUGGCACAGCUUCACCAAAGGCUAAAGGCAAGUCUGAUGGCCAGGAGCAGGGGGGCAAGCUGCAAAAGCCCACGCCAGUGGAAAACAAGGCUGUGUUUGCUGGCACAGCCUCACCAAAGGCUAAAGGCAAGUCUGAUGGCCAGGAGCAGGGGGGCAAGCUGCAAAAGCCCACGCCGUCGGAAAACAAGGUUUUGCUUGCCAGAAAGGCUGCUCCAAAGGCCAAAGCCAGGUUUGUUGUUGAUUCAGGCUGUACCCGCCAUGUCUCAAAGGACCGCCACCUAUUUAUCUCCUUCAAACCUCAAGAAGGUGAGAUCCACCUGGCUGACGGAAAGACGUUGCGAAUCGCAGGAGAAGGGACUGUGAGACUGGCAAGUCUGCACACUUCCAUCAAAGAUGUACUGUAUGUUCCAGGUGCUGCAGACAAUUUGCUCAGUGUCCCACAGCUGACUGGGCGUGGUUUUGAGAUUUCCUUCAAGAGGAGCGUCUGUGUCAUCAGAAAAGGCAAAGAGGACAUUUUGCAUGCAAAGUUUAUGGAUGGAUUGUUCUGUAUAACUUAUGAUGACAAUGGUGCUGUUGUGUCUAAUGCUGAUUCUUGUUGUGUUGCACAAACUAACAAAGUUCUUCAUGCAGGAUGCAUUCACGAUGCACACAGAAGGUUUUGUCACCUCUCUUGGAAGGCACUGGCCAAGAUGCCAGAGAUGGUUGAAGGUUUGAACAUCAAACCCUGUAAGUUUCACAUGAAAUGUGUAUCUUGUGCAGAGAACAAGGUGAAGGUUGCUCCAAAAGGCAAGGAGUCUAGCAGGCAGGCUUCCAAACCCUACCAGCUAGUGCACGCAGACCUGGUUGGUCCACUUGUGCCCUCUUUGGGUGGAGCAAGGUACUUCAUGGUUCUAAUUGAUUCUUUUUCCAGGUACAUUCAUGUGUUUAUGCUCGAGCAGAAAUUGCAAGCGUUUCCUAAGUUCAAGGCAUUCUGUGCUUGGUUGGAGAAUGUUCAUGGUAAACGCAUUGGCUGUUUGUUUACUAAUCGAGAGGCUGAAUUCACUUCUCGGCAGUUUAAAGCUUUCCUGACUGAGAAGGGAAUCCAGCAUAGCCUCUCAAGUCCUGGAUCUCCAUGGGAGAUUUGUGAGUGAGCAAAUCAAACGUUGCUGCAAGGACUGAAAACAUUGUUGCAUGAUGCCAAUCUCCCUGAGAAGUUUUGGGGGGAGUCUUUGAACUCGUUUGUUUGUCAUCUCGCAGGUUGUCAUCACCUAUUGGUUGUACCCCCUAUGAGAAGAUGUUUGGUAAGAAACCCAACAUCAAGCACAUGAGAAUCUUUGGUUCUGACAUGUGGGUACACACCCCACAGAGCAACAAGCUUGGGAAGCGUGGGGCACAUGGUUUGUUCAUGGGGUACGAAAAAGGUGCAUACAGGGUAUGGAUGACUGACUCUAAGUCCAUUAAGUUCACAAAGAGUGUUGAGUACAAUCCAAAGUGGGGGGAAAAUGUGGGAAUUUUCCAGAGUUACCCAGAGGAGGAUGAAGGUGAUGUCAAAGAAGCAGCUAAAGCUGAGGAAGCUGCUGAGGAUGAUGAUGACGAUGAUGAUCAGAGUUCGGAUUCCAGCUCAGUGGGCGCUGCUGCUGAUGUCAGUGACAGUGAUGACACAGCAGACUACAAGAGCGCAAAGGCCUCAGUCAGACCAUCUGAUGCGUCUGACAAUGAACUGGAACAACCACUGUUCACCAUUGGUCACUUUUCUCCUAAGAAGGAGGAGAUGAGUCCAGAAGACUUGCGUCUAGUACGCAGAUCUGAAAGAGCCACAAAGGGCAGACCUCCAAAGAGAUUUGCUGAUGAGUUUGCUAAGACAGCAACUGCUGUUCUUAGUAGCUCAGAGAAGGUGUGGGAACCUUCAAGCUUCAAAGAGGUUCAGGAGUUAACCUCUAAAGAUGCUGAGCCUUGGCUUAAUGCCAUGAAGGCUGAAGUUGAUUCCUUGAAUAGGAACCAAACUUGGGAACUGGUACCGGUUGUCCCAGGAAUGAGACUGGUUGGCAGCAAAUGGGUCUUCAAGGCCAAGACAGACCAGAAUGGCAAGGUUGUCAGACACAAAGCCAGAUUGGUUGCCAGAGGUUUUUCACAGGUAUCAGGACAGGAUUACCACGAGACCUACUCACCCACCGUCAAAUAUGAGAGCAUUCGGCUGAUGCUCAAGAUCGCUGCGGAGGAGAAACUGCAUGUUUUCCAUCAUGACAUUAAUACAGCUUUUUUGUACGGGAUUCUGGGGGAGGAGCUGUUUAUGCUUCCACCUGACGGGAUGCAGAUACAGAAGGGAAUGGUCUGUAAACUGCGGAAAUCCUUAUAUGGUCUCAAGCAGAGUGCUAGGUGUUGGAACACGAAACUCACUGAGACGUUGCUUUCUCUAGGUUUUCACCAGGGCAAAGCUGAUCCGUGUGUGUUUGUCAAGGAGGAGGGGCAAAACAAACUGUAUUGUUUAUGUUUUGUUGAUGAUCUUCUGAUGUUUUGGAAGAAUCAGGCUUUCUACCAAAGCACCCUAGCUCAGCUGAAGGAGCACUUUGACAUGAAGGAUCUUGGUGAGGUAUCCAACUAUCUUUCUCUGCAGGUGGAGAGGGACCAAGCAGGUAGUUUUCUGGUACACCAAACACAGAAAAUUGCUAAUGUAUUAACCAGGUUGAAUUUGGUUGAUGCAAACCCAGCAGACACACCGAUGGUGACAGGUUACCAGGUAGACAGUACUGCUGAAGCGUUUUCUGACAUUACGCUGUACAGAUGCAUUCUAGGCAAGUUGAAUUUCAUUGCUAGAUGUUCAAGACCUGACAUAGCUGUAAGCUGUAACCUGCUUAGCAGACAUGCUAACAAUCCUACUGUUCAGGAUUGGAAAGCUCUGAAGCGCAUAGCCCGCUAUUUGAAAGGGACUUUGCACUACAGGCUGAGGUUCACCAGUCAGAAGACUGGAGGUCUUGAAAUCUUUGCAGAUGCAAGUUUUGGAAGUGAUACCACGGAUGGUACAAGCACUUCUGGAGUAUGCUACAUGUACAACCACUGCCUGUUUGACUGGUUGUGCAAAAAGCAGAUGACAGUGAGCCUAAGUUCCUGUGAAGCAGAACUCAAUGCUCUGUCAUUUUCACUCAUGGAUUGUGAAUGGUUGAUGCAACUGUUUAAGGACAUCAGAGUUUCUGUGAAAUGUCCUGUACAAGUGUAUCAAGACAAUAGAUCGUGUUUGGCUUUGCUGAACUCGGAGAGUUGCAAGCAAAGGACCAAGUACUUGCAGAUUAAGCUACAUCGUGCAAGAGAGUGUAUUGAGAAACGACUCAUUCAGGUGUCCUACAUGCCAGGAAAUGAAAUUCCUGCUGAUCUGUUGUCUAAGGUUGUUAACAGAGAACAACUUAAGGUUUACGUACAAAGGUUGCAAUUGGGUUGAACCACAGGUACUACAGGUUACACGGAAAGGGGGAGGAUGUUAGGAUAUUUCCGUUCCACCUUAAAAGGGAGCAGGCUUUGUGAGUCAGAGUCUGCGUAUUUCCUGUUCACAGGAUGUUUAUGUUUUCUGUUGCUUUCGUUCUCUCUCUCUGUGUCGCAGACACUAAAGCAGGCAGUCAUGUUUUUCUGUGUUCUGAUCAACGCUGAAUAAACUUGUAAAUAAUGCUCUCCUGAGUGCAACUUUUGGCUGUGCAUUAUCUGCUGAUAGAGCGUGCAUGAGCUCUGGAAUGUGGCAAGAUAUUUUCUAGAAACUCAUGUCGCUGCGUGCCUACGGGAGGUCGAUGGAUCGUCCGGCAGACGGCUUGGGGGCCUUGAUGGACUUUAUCUCCCUGGCAGUAUCCCAACA
Molecule: non-coding RNA, 5118 nt
Organism: Podarcis lilfordi (Lilford's wall lizard)
Lineage: Eukaryota; Metazoa; Chordata; Lepidosauria; Squamata; Lacertidae
Source: the annotation of a GenBank genome assembly